AAACCAUGGUGAGGGCACCUUCUCAAUAAGUCCUUGUAUCUCUCCCAUGCAUCAUAAAGUGUUUCUAAAUCCAUCUGCACAAAAGAAGAAACAUCAUUCCUUAAUUU
This is a non-coding RNA of Gossypium hirsutum (cotton), 107 nucleotides long. The record is from Rfam. NCBI's taxonomy places the organism in Eukaryota, Viridiplantae, Streptophyta, Magnoliopsida, Malvales, Malvaceae.